AGAUGGUCUGAAGAGAAAAGCUUUUCCUCACAUGGAGUGUCUCCACAGGGCUGGAGAUCUUGAAGAAUAAGGCUCCACCUGUACCACACUGACUUGUCCUCAGCCUGUCUUUGAUGUGAAGACAGUGACACAGUGGGUUGGAUCUGAGGCGCAUAAAUGCAUCCUACAUAGCAGCCAUGUGGCUCUGUUUAGAAGACUGAAGAUUUCCACCUCUCCUUACAGGAACUGCUCUUGGAGGGGGCUUUGAUGUUAUAAAUCAGCAGAGAGGAGGAGAGUGGCUUGCCAGAUUCUGUGCAGUUUGUGUGUCGGCAUGAGAACCCUCGCUCACCUCAUUCUAACAUGCAAGGAAGAGGAAAUACAAGUACAGUGGUGCCUCGCAUUACGACUGUUACGAUUUUUAAGGAAAAAAUCCAGAAAACUUGCAUUCCAGUCUCCUGGAGCUGCUGCCAGAUGAAUGUGGAAAUGGGAUGGAAGAAAAUUUGAGUGAGCACAUUCAAAAGGAAAUCCUGAGAUGUCUGCCUUCAAUCCAAAAUGAUUAAUAGCUUGAAACU
This is a non-coding RNA of Pogona vitticeps (central bearded dragon), 551 nucleotides long. The record is from RefSeq and is a predicted model, not a curated record. Lineage: Eukaryota; Metazoa; Chordata; Lepidosauria; Squamata; Agamidae.